AACGAACGCUGGCGGCAUGCCUAACACAUGCAAGUCGAACGAGAUCUUCGGGUCUAGUGGCGCACGGGUGCGUAACGCGUGGGAAUCUGCCCUUUGGUUCGGAAUAACAGUUGGAAACGACUGCUAAUACCGGAUGAUGACGAAAGUCCAAAGAUUUAUCGCCAGAGGAUGAGCCCGCGUAGGAUUAGCUAGUUGGUGUGGUAAAGGCGCACCAAGGCGACGAUCCUUAGCUGGUCUGGGAGGAUGAUCAGCCACACUGGGACUGAGACACGGCCCAGAAUCCUACAGGAUGCCGGAGUGGGAAAUAUUGGACAAUGGGCGGAAGCCUGAUCCAGCAAUGCCGCGUGAGUGAUGAAGGCCUUAGGGUUGUAAAGCUCUUUUACCCGGGAUGAUAAUGACAGUACCGGGAGAAUAAGCUCCGGCUAACUCCGUGCCAGCCGCCGCCGUAA
This 449-nucleotide ribosomal RNA is filed under the name uncultured bacterium. Its description in RNAcentral is "partial 16S ribosomal RNA". It matches the Rfam family "Bacterial small subunit ribosomal RNA", at positions 29 to 523 of the family's 1533-position model. The record is from RNAcentral.